CUCCUUCAUUGUUAGAUUAAAAGUGGAGUGACAGCAAGGAAAUGAGGGGAAAAGAGAAAAUGAGAUGUACUGGUUAGAAAAUACCACCUAGAAGUGAGAGAUUUGAUAUUUGAAAUGAAAACAUUAGUGAAUGACUUUGGGGAUGUUUUACUUUAUGCCUAAAUUGGAUCGUUGGCUGAAAAAUAAUAACUCGGUCCUACAAAGGUAUAACCUGGAAAUGGGAUGAAGACAAGAGUUAAAAGACAGGUCCACCAUCUCAGAACGCCACUGGUCUCCUGGGAGUCAUUCAUUGACGGGCAGCAGGACGGGGAGGCGCUGGGUUUCCUUCUGCUCAGGAGGACCUUUCUUUUUUUAAGGCUGCACAUCAUUCCUGGGCUGCUGACUGAAUAUAGAUGUGGUUUAAUUUUAUAGUAGGCUAUUGGUAAUAUAUAUUUCUUUAUAACGUGGGAAUUGAUUUAAAACAUGUAACGCUUUCUGAAUGACUUCCAGACAUAAAGUUUUAGCUUUCCGGUCUGAAAAUAUUGACUGUAAUUAUUAAAUGUUUAAGGUGCUCCACUGGUAGUAGAAAUGUAUUUUGAGUGCUAUUUACCAUUUCCUUUGCUGAGCUGAAUUUUGUUAUAGUUUCUCUUUUUUUUUUUUUUCUAAUUAAAAAAAUCAAAUCUUUCCUACAUGAUUAAAAUACCUUAGAGGUAAUUAUUAGAAUUAAGCACCUGGCUAUAUGAAGUAUGUCAUCUGAAUUCGCAGUCAAGUAGCCAUAGUUGCAACAAAUUUCUUUUUUUUUCUAGAAUCCUAUUUAAACAGCAUUUUUUGUAUAUUUCUAUUAUUAUUCUCAUUUUGUUCUGGUUUGUAAAGACUGAUUUUAAAUUAGUAAACAGGCUUUCAGUGCUCAUGGUAGGUCCUAGAUAAGGUGCAAAAACAAUGCUAAAAUAUGCAGUGAUAAUUGAGUGUCAAUUUAAGAACAUGUUCCCCGUUGAACAGGUGCCUGUAGUUUGCUGUGAACUUGAGGUUAUUGUUAAUACACCGUUAACAGGAUCCCAGGAGUUUCCAUGCAGUUAAUUUCACACUUGGACAUUGCAGUAUUUGCAACAAUUCACAAAGUUCAGAAACGUCCAGGAGACUUUGGCAGGGACAGCCAAGCAAAAUGCUAAUAAGGAAAACAGAAGAGAAGUCGGAGCCAGCUCUCGGCUGUUGCCAGACUCCAUCAGCACUACACAAUGUUGACACGAAAAAAAAGAGCUCUUUCAUCUCCUGCAGCCAUAAACCAAUGGGGAUUUUAUUUAUUUAUUAACAGAGAAAUAACAGAAUGAAAUAGAAGGAAGGGCCUGAAAGGAGCCCAUUGUGUUAGGCCAGUGACAUCUCUCUCAAAUGAAUGAGGAUCCAUGAACGAACCUUGUUUCUUAACACAGCUCUGCAACGCAGUGAUCCGGCAGUCAGAGCUGUGUAAUUUACAGGGUAAUUUACAGUUCUGCAGACUGGGAGGAAAAUACGAGCAAAUUAAAACUGAUCUGAUUAAUAGUCUUAUGCUGUGGUGUAAAUACAAGAGUUGUAUCAGUGACGUAUAAUGUGUAAAGCAGUAGUCAGCCAAUUGGGCUACCAAGGUCUUAGGUCAGUCAAAUAACAAGAAAGCAUUAGAUAUAUGUUUUACUUCAGCUGGGAGCAGUGAAGCAGUGUUAUGUAAUGAAAGACUGACCUCCAAAGGGCAGAAAUCAGAGUAGGCUGGCUUAUAAAGUUCCCACUGACAGGACCCAGGACUCUGGGCAUGUGGGUCAUGGUUAACAAACAGCAUCAUCAAGCUUUAUUUUGCCUUUCAAUCCAAAGAUCAUCCUCGAUUUUUGGAUGAAUAAGCAUUUUUAGUGCAUCUCUUGAACAGGACCCUCUGCUACUUUAUCUCUUGUGAUGCUCUUGUAUCAAAAGUGAGUGUCAGGUUUUGACUCAGUAACUUCCUUCUUCUAAAAAGGGUAACUUCUGAGUUAAAAAGAAGUAGAAUUUAAAAACAGAAGUAUUGUCAUGCUUCUUGAACGGUGUUUCCUUAGAGAUUUGGCAUCCCUUCAUCCCUGUUAUGAGAAGGGUAACAAGAUACAUUUCAUGAAAGUCUGGAGUAUAACUGCUAAAUGUCUUCUGACAUGGAAGAAAUUGGACAGCUCGUACAAACAGUUCUUGAAUCAACAGCCUUGGGCAAAGACAGUGAGGAGAUGCAGCAGCAAGAGGGCUUCUUUUUAAAUCUGUUGCAUGAAGAAGGGGCAGUGAAGGUCACCGUGCACUGGGAGGUGGAUGAGUGGAGUCCGGCCGGAGGCGUGGCAGCAGAGGACGAGCAUCCCGGUAGUUUUACAGCAGGAGCAAUGACCCUUGCUUUGUUUUCUGCAGGAAAUGAAAAUCAUCUUUUAAGCCUGAAUCAACGAUCUUUUUCAGGCUUUUUCUGUUUCUCAGGCUGCCCUGCCAGCGAGUGGUCUGCAGACACAAGGUGCUGGGAGGAGUACAGCCCGGGCAGCUGACCCCAGGGUAUCCCUGACCCUCUGACAUCAUGUUCCUCAGUAAGAGCUGGGGGAAGGACAUACAGAGAUUCUGCCCAUCUUGCCGGGAUGGCUAACUCCCAGCAGCACGGCUCAGGACUCAUACAGGUACGUGGCUCUGUGCCCUGGGAGGAGGUAACUGUGGUACCAAAACACAAAGGCACAAGUCAGGUAUGCACAUCAAAACUGACACACGCUCAGGAAAUGUGAAAUGUUUGUCUAGCAUGCGUUGCAUUUUACUCUUAACUGAAGAAGUACCUAUAAUUCUGUCUCAGAUGCAGAAAAAGUAGUACCACAGUGGUCAUUAUGAGAUGUUGGCUUGUAAUCUUCACUCAUUUGCUUCUCCUUUUGGGGUGAAUAAUGCUUAAUAUAAUUAUUGAUAAGGCUGUUGUACUUUUUGUUUCUUCUUAUUGUUUUGGCGUUAUUUGAAUUGACUUAAACAUUAAAUUCUUCCACUUGGGGAGGAGAUGGUCUGUGCAGCAAGACAAACACCUGGAGAGCACACAGCAGCCCGCCCUUCCAUGACCUCAGUUCUCUCAAACAAAGGUCAGUAAAGCAAAUUAAGCAAACAUAAUAAUCCAGAGAGGGACUGAUGGGUGAGAAUCGCUGAAGUGAGAAGUGCCACUGAGAUUUCCAAAUAAGAUAAAAUCUGGAAUUGCUUGACGUGGGGAUUUGUAGCAUGCAGAAAAUGUCUGGCCCCAAAAUUAGAACCCGGACUUCUAUAUUGGAACUUUUAUAAGUAAGAGUGCCAAAGUUUGAAUGUGUUUGGAUUAGGGAUUGGCUGCUGCUAAAUCCUCAUAAACAGCUUUUUCUCCUGGGAUAGUGGAAAGCCCAAGUUCAGGACUCUGAUCUCUGAAAAGUAGUAUUUCUAUGUUGCAGUGAAGUUUAUCAUCAUUAAAGGGCUUUUGUUCAAGCCUGGCUCAAAGGAAAUAACACUAACUUUUGAAUCAGCAAAGCUUCUCUGAAUCCCUGGAGGUCUCUCUGCUAAGGACAGGCACUUGUAUGUGAUGAAUGAACAGCAGCUGUAGCACUGAAUUUCUGUAUAGUCCAUAGGCUGAAACUUCAGAGAAAUUUGUCAGCAAAGAAUUUGUGAGUAUCACACACACUUAAGCAGCCAGUGACUGCUUCACCAACAGCUUGUAAAUAAAGGGCAGUAUAUGUUGACUAAUGAGCAGACCCCAAGAAAAGCAUGUAUAUUUUACAUCAUGUUGAUAGACAUAAUGAAUGUUGGUACCUUGUCUCACACCUUGUCUUUCCUGAGUAAACUACAUACUAAAACUAGUUCAUUCAGCUUUAGCUAUAUGGUUUUCUUUUCCUGUACUAGUUGAAGGCUACCUUCUCUCUCUCUCUCUCUGUCUCACACACAUACAGACAAUAUAAGCAUACUUUUGGUUCUCUCUGCUUGCUUCUCCAAACACCAUCCUGGCUCUUUCCUGCCUUACAUCUUGAGGCAGUCCUCAAGAUGUCCUAGUCCCUGCCUCAACUCUCCUUGUCCUUUUUGACCUGCCAGCUGUCUUGAUACAUUCAGUUACAUGCCUGGAAAUCUGAUGCUUUCUUUGGUUCCUGUGACGACACCUUUUUCUCAUCUUCCUAUGACAUCUCUUAUCACUUUUUCUGCAUGUCCUUCUGUCUUCAUCCAUCCAUCCCUGGUUUCUGGGGAAACCUUUCUUCCCCCCACUUCAGUGUCUUCACCUUUUCCGUGACACCAUCCGUAUGUGUUCAGUGAUUACUUCAGUGCUGACAGUUCAGAGAUCUUGCAUUCUCUCUUUUUUCUUUGUUUAGACUAAAAUGUUGACCUCUGGCUCCGAAUACCCCUUCCAAUGUUUAGCUGACAGCUCUGCACAGCUAAAACUGAGCUCUUAAAUCUUUCCCCUAAAGCACUCCCCUUCUUGUUCUUCAUUUGAUUGCUGUGGACAACACCAUCAUCCUGCCUCCUAUUCAAGCUUAAAAACUGAGACAAACUAGAGAGCAUUUUUGUCACAGAAUCUCCUUCUUAGGUCUGUGUAUUUAGGUUAUGUCUUAAUUUAGAGGUUUCUUUCUCACACAUCAUCCCAGAGGGCUGUCUCUAGCCAUCCAGACAGCUAAAAUCUCCUACCUAGGCUCUGCUUGGUUAGCAGGUUUGCAACGUCUUUUCACAGCCAUUGACAAAUUCAAGCUUCUGUGCUUCAUAUCCUGCCAGUCUUUUGCUGUACAGAGCAUUUUCCUACUCUGUCACUGGCGCCUUUGUUACUCUAACUCCUUCAUGGCUUCUUCCUGUUGGCAUGCAUGUUCAUUGCUCAUCCCUGUGUGAAUGGUUUUUCUUGUUCAUAGCCAGUGAUGCCAACUUUCAUUGACAUGUUUUCAAAGAAAAUAUCUUCAGGCUUUUGUUCCCAGGCUUUCCUAUGUAGUAGGAGGAGCUCCCUGCAAGCAUCAGUGCUUUCUCCUUAACAUCUCCUUUUGCUGAUACAUCAACAAAAACAGUGAUGUUGGCAAAGGGUGCCAAGCCUGCUAUGAACUCAGUUCAGCACUUUCACCAGCCUUAACAGAAGCUGUAUUGAAACAAUUUACUCUAAACGUGGUUUGGAAGGUCUCUGCUCUACCUAUUCUACACCUGAAACAUUCAGCUAUGUUCCUUUUAAGAUAACAGCCAAAUAGUGAGGAAAUGAUGAAAUCUUCAGUUUUGUGCAUGCUGUCUGAAUUAUUACCGUUAUAGUUAACAUGUCUCAGAUACUGAAUUGCUUUGAAAAUUGAAAGAGGAACAAGUCAACUAAUACAAGCUGGAUGCUUUGUCUGAACAAUGUCACCUUUGCUUGACCAAUAGCAAAGAAACUUCCUUUCUUUGCCAGUUCCUUGAAAACAAAGGAAGUAGAGAGGUGAUUACCUGCAGUCUGGAAAUACAUUUUCUGAUGCUCCAAUCUGAUAAAUUUAGCUGAACAGUUGAAAAUAUGCAGCAAGUGAAAUGAAAUGACCAUCAGGAUCAACAUUACAGCUUUUAGUGAAGUAGCUGUAUUUGCUGGUAAUAUUUUCCUGUUCUACAUUCCAAACACACAGCUUCUAAAGUGUAGUGUUUUUUUUCCAAAGCUAUACUUCUAGAACAUGAUUGAAUGGUUUGAAAUAUGCAUAAAACACCAUUUCCCACCUAAUUGACUCAGUAGAAUUUAAUCUCAUUAAGUACAUUUUAAAUAUGUUUAUGUAUAAUUUGAAGGUAUUUCUAUUUGUCAUAUCUACAUGAGUAGGUAUAUAAACAUCCUCUCUCCAAUUAUAUAUGUACAUAUGGACUUCUGUGCCAUUUCAAGCCCCAUUAACUUCAGGUGGGCUCCCAAAGCCCAGUACACCUGCAGAGAAAUUAGAAGACUGGGCACAGAUGUCUGUGUUACAAGUGAGACUCCUAUCAAGACAGACUAUGCUCCCUUAACCCUCAAACCAUCCUUCCCCUGCUCCAUAACCCUGGAACUCACUGUCAGCAUUAAUUAGCUACUACUUUAUGUACCCAUGUGAUAUAUGCAGUAUGUGCAAUGGAAAUUAUUUUCUUUUAUUUUUUGGGAGAGAGGUGGAGGUCCUGCUCUGAAAGAAUUAGUUGCGUUACAUGAUUGUUUAGAACUCGCCAAGUAACACAUGGUAUAGGCUGAAAAGUGAAUCUGCAGGUAACCAAACUAGACUGAUAAUCAAAAGAUCUGUGAUCUUAGAAGUCUUUUCCAUUUGAAACUUUGCUUUGUCUUAGUCUCAUGCCAUUCAAGAAUGCAUUGCUUCAGUCUUGAAACACUUGAUGUUCCUGCAUAAAAUAACAAAGGAUGUACAAGAGGUACCGAUGGUGCUUCUAUUACUUUGAAAAAUGAACUAACUGAAAGAGAACACUGCAGUUCUAGCUGUACAUUCAGAAAAAUUCAACUCUGCUAAAAUACCAUUUAAAUGUUUGUAAUGACUGACUUAAUACCACACCUGACUUUCAAGGAAGAAAAACCAAACAUUUUGUCUGUAGACACUUCCGCUGUAUUCUUCAAAUCAGAAAAAUACUAUGGUAAGGAAGGACAAGCAUUAAAAGAGGAAAAGUUAGGGCAAUUAAUAGUAAGUUAGUUAAAUUCAGGAGUGUCUUUAAGGCAUCUCUGCAAUCACAGCACUGACAUCUGUGCAAGUCUCCUGUUUUUCAGCACACCUGAGGCCUUUCACCCUCAAUUUAGCAAAUUAAUUCCAAUGCAGACUUGCAGCUCAUCUAAUUUCUUCAUAGCAGUACUUCCCCCCCAGCCUCUCACCUUAUUAUGUUCAAGCUAACUUAUACCUUUGUAGUCCAUCGGUCUGAUUACAAAAACCGAACAAAAACACUGCACAUUAAAAACAACCAACCAACCAAACCAACAACUGAGACAGUACAGCAGCAGUAAGGAACAACAUGGACAGUCUCAGACCCAGCACCAGACCUGCUCAAAAACAUACCUUCUUUUUCUCCAACUCAUCCUCCUCAACUAACUGAUUUAUGUAGUCCUUCUCUUUCACUAGGAAGAACAGAUAGGGCUCACUGUGCUUUUUCCUCACUCUGAAUUACUAAAAUUCUAAAUUGUAUCAUCUGCAACAAAUUGGUGCCAUCUUAUCUGCAGCUGCAGCUAGGAAAAGCUGACAGAGGACAAGAUGCUGUUACGCUAAGUCAUGUUUGAAACACAGCGCCUGCAGUAAUGACAUGAGAUUUAAUAUUCUUUCCAAUAUUUAUUAGCAUUAACUGUUAUAACUUUGGACAGCCCUGUAUCUGCCAGUAAGAUGCCUUGCCAGCUUCAGUUCAGCAACUCCCAGAAAUACUAAGUUAGUGUAAGUACACAAUUUCAAAAGAUGCUCCCCCCCCCCCCCCCCCAAUCAACUCUGUAGCUGCCAUCUUCUAAUACUGCCAAACAUCUUGUUAUUCCAGAACAAAGCAAUAACAUACAUUGCCCAUAUACUUCAGUAUCCUGCAUUUCUGAUCUGGACUGAGAAGAGCUCCUAAGCUUUUCUUGUUUGAAGUAUAUCUACCUUUCCAAGGGCUUCUGGGCAACUCUGUAGUCUGUAUCUCAUUAUCCUUCGGUAUACUGAACACUGUAGGCGGCUACAGAAUAGGUGGUACUUUUUGCAUGCAUUACAGUUUUAAUCAGGCUCUUCAGUUCUGUGCUCAGUUACUUCAGAAAUCUGCCACAUAUGUCUUCUUCUGUGACUUACAAAAAGAAGCACAUAUUCCAAGUGUAGAUAAUAACUGUACCAUUUAAAUGAUAAUACCAAUAUGUUUUGUAUAGGGAGGAGAUUUGUGCAGGGCACUUCCACCAUGAACAGCUCUUUCAUAGGGCUAUCUAUCCUCACGCCAGAUGUCAAAUACAAAAAGACAUACUUUGGCAUGAAUAACAAAGUUCGUUUGACUGAAGGAUUUACCUCCUAGGAACAAGAGCCUCAUAAAAGAUAAACACUGGGAGCAAACUGAGCCUCGUAAGGGCUUUUGCAAAAAUUAAACCCAUAACUUACCACUAGAAAUAGGAUAUUUCAUCUGUUCAAUAAGCACUAGAGUUCUUUUUGUUUUUAUGGCAUCGUAAUCUUUGAUUACUCUGAUAAAUAUUUGGACUAGACAAAACAUUGUGAUGGAACUAAUCACAGCUAUAAAAGAACUGUGUCUGAAAAUGAAUUUGAAAUGCAGUGAUAUCAGCACAUUUUAUAGAAGUUCAAAUACAGACCCACAUUAUUUAAACUGGCUCCUGACACCAUUCUUUCGUGUCUCCAUGUAGUCGUCUAUACCUGAGAAAAAUAAUUACUAUUGCUUGCUGUCUUUGCACAAGCAUGAAAAGAUGACUGUACCAGACAUGGAGUACCAGCCUCUCUGUAUAACUGGAUGAACCCAGAACACACAACUAUAUAGUGCAAAAAUUACAACUUUAAGGUUGUGAAAAGGCUCAGUGCACUAGGAAACAGUGCACACAUGUCAAGACAAUUAAGUGCUACUUAUUCUUUUACAGUAGGAGGGGGAGUCCCUCCAUCAGUCUGAGCACCGUGCACCAUUCAGAUUGUAGGGGCCAACAUUCUGCCCACAGUUCAGCUGGAGAAGAUCUGUAGUCAAAAAGAGCAGCUCAAGAAGCAUUAUACAAAACCUGGAACUGCUUUUUAAUUGCUCAGUAUAACUGAGGGCUAAAAAACAGCAACAUGAAUACUUCCAAAAGCAAAAUGCUUUUCUCUACCUUAUAGUUUGAGCAGAUGCAAUAAUGUAACUAAAGUUCAAGUACAAAUCACAGCCAGGAAUGUUAGCCCAGUGAUGUAAGUCAUGUUUAGUACUGCAACAGCAACAUUUAUGAAGAGGUAAUGAGAAUGUAUUUGAAGCAGUGGGCUGCAUCUUUAUAUCACUGAUGCAAUGCUGUCAUGUACUGUCACAUAUUUCUAACAUAUUACUUCUAACAGCUGAAGUCUGCAUUUGUUUCUAGUUGACUAAACCCAGAAUAACUGAACCAAAGCCAGAUGUUGCUGAUUAGAACAAAGAAUGGGAAUUUUCACUUAGCAUUUAUAUAGUCCUUUUCAUCUUCAGAGAGCAUCAUGAACAUGAGCUAGUUCUCUCACAAUAACCUUCAUGCUAACCUUCUGGGAUAAAAGUAAUAUACUAUAGGUUAAAAGAACACCUGAGAAGAUAUGUAAUCAAGCACGUACAAAGCCUCAGAUGUCUAAACUGUCUUGGCCUCUGUCUAACGGUAGACUGUACUUCAUCAAGAAUAUAAGGGCUUUCACCAUGGCUUGGGAGUUAAUUCACCAUACAAUGCAUUUUACUAACAUGAUGUGAUGGUAAUAGUCCUUGAAUAAUACAUCUUCUACCAUAGCUAUAGGAUACAGCAAUUCUUUUUCAGCAGUUAAGGAACUCAAAAUAAAAGUGCAUUAAAAACUUGCUGGAAACUGUUACAAAGCAACGCAGGGAUACAUCUAGGUUGGAUGUUACAAGUCUGUAGUUUCAAUUCCUACUCUUCAGUCAUUUGGGGCUUUUUUUUUUUUUUAAACUCCUAAUUCAGAUUAGGAAUUUCAUAAGACUUUUAGAAAGCUUUCUCUAAAGCAGCAGAAGCUUCCUUUAUGCAUCAGUUCUCUCUCCCUCAACACAGACCUGCUAUUCUGGUUAUCAGUUUGAGUGUCUCUAAACCCAGAAUCUUCAGUAAGUUCCUUAUGUUCCAAUUGCUCGCGCACUUUACGGACAAAUAGAUUGAAGCAGACAGUACUCAUUUUCAUGGUGACCCAGAACAGUUAUUGUUACAAGAACACCUUUUAAUCUUCAGUUUCUGCUUUUGAAUUGAAUUCAAGUGGGGAGAGAUGAAAGAAAGCAUCUCAGAAAUCUGUUACUACAGCUGGUACUUCUUAGUUUAUCAUAUGCUAGCUUUAAUUCUCUUUGAUUCUUCCUAGAAUUAUUGCUUCUAUUUCUUAAUUUGACAACCCGGCAUUUGUUGCUAUUUUUUGACUGUGAAAAAUCCCUCCCCUCCUACUUCUGUAUAGCAUCUACCGCAGGGAAAAAAUAAAGUUAACUUCUCUCUUGGUAAGGUUUCUUAUAGUGCAAAAGCAAGCAGAUAAAUAACAUUCAUUGCUUACACUUAAGGAAAAGACUUACAAAAUAAACUGAAGAGUGAAAGAAGGAUAAGAGUCAUGCUGAUAUGAAGGGCAUCACUUGCACUGCAGUCCAUUCUGGAUUUCUUGCAGGAACACACUUGUAAUUUCAGUUCUGUGUUGUUAGUCAGAGGUGGUUUUCCAGAAUCUGUCACUGAGAUUGGGAUGUUGUAAUUGGCCUUUUUCAGGUUUUGAAGCAGGACAACCUGGGCAUGAGUAUCUGCAAAGGAUAAGGAGGUGAGGAACAGCCAAACAGUGGUCAUUUAGAUAGGAAGAAACAGUUGUAAACAAUACCAGACAUGCCACAGUUACUCAUGGAGAUGAAGAGGAAAAUGAGUGUACUCUAAGGAAAGAUUAGGGAAUUGAAUUGCAUGGGAAGUAAGAACAGGCAGCUACAGAAAUUCUUUCAGGGGUUUAGAACUCACUGCAAAUAUAUUCCAAGCCCCAUCAAAAGAAGGACUUUCAAGAGUCCCUUUUGUUUAAAUACAUUAUUUAGUCUGCAGAUUAUUGGCAGAAAUUACUGUGGAAACAAAUAUACUAAUGAAAUGCUAAGGCAUGUCAUGCCCAAAGCAACAUGAGAGGGAAGAAUUUAUCUAUUUGCCAAAGGAAAAAUCCCUUCUUGGAAGGAAGCACAGGGGAAGCUGUUUAAUUGCUUCCCCAGUUUGACUGAAAAGGUAGUGAAGGUAAGUAAUACACCUCCAGAUCCACAGAUCUGCUGCCCAGGUGAGCAUGCUCUUUUAGGAGGUUUAAAAGAGUAUUGGCUGGAUAAUUGCAGAACAGGAAAAUAGCAAAGGAAAUGACUCCACACUGUCCACGAUAUCCUUGAGGCAGGUACAGAUGUCACAUCCAUCUUUACUUCCUUCUAAGCAGAAUAUGAAAUGAAAUGCUAAAAGAUUAGGGAGCAGCCUCACUGAAAGGAACCUGGGGGUCCUGGUGGACAAGAAGCUCAACGUAAGUAGUGUGCUAUUGCAACAGUGGAAGCAAAGUGCAUCCUCAGCUGCAUCUGUAGCAUCUGUGCAUUCCUGCUAUUGAAUUCUGCUGUAACAGACAACCCCAGUGUGAGUACAGUGGGAUGCAGAGGCAGGAGGAAUAAACGCAUGAAAAAUAGAAGUACUUACUGUUAAGCUUGUUGAUUCUCCAUAACUUUUCUGGACCAGAUUGCUUACUCAGUUCAAAUUUAAAUGGAUCUGUGUUGGGAUGGAGGUCUUUGUCUGAUGCUCCUAGUACCACUACUCUGAGAUCUUUAGCAUCAUCACAGACUUUUGCCAGUGUUGGGUAAAGGGAGGGGACAUUGUCAUUGACGUCCUCCAAGGUGAUGUGUAAAGUUCCUGUACCUGUAGCAGGAGGGUUACCUAUAUGAAGAACAAACAAGAGUUUAUUAAAUCAUCCUUCCAUAAACAUUUAUCGUAUCUGUACCUGCAUGGAUGCCGAGGAAGACAAUUUUUAUACAUCUUUCUUCUGUUACAUGAGAAUUAUUGCUUUUAAAAGAGCUUUUAAAAGAGUUACUGUUGUAAAAUGUUGCUAUAUUUUCAAAAUGCAGUCUGUCUGUUUCUCCACAGUAUGGACAAUUAUUCUAAGAAGAGUAUUUUGAAGUCAGAAUGAGAUUAGGAUAUGAAUAGAUAUCUGGAACAAUCUGUUCAUAAAUGCAUACUGAGAGAAUCAUAGUGGGAAAUAUCCCCUGCAUAGACAGUGUGGUAUUAAAAGAACUAAAGAUGAGACAAACAGGUGGAAAAAUGACAGCAGAGCAGAGUCAAUUUGUAUAGUGGAACUCAUAAGUAGAACAGGAGCAGAUUGUUCCUCAGUAACCCUUACCUAGGCCCCCAUUUAAUUACAUUAGCAGAAGUAAAACCUAUCAGCAUGCAACUCUAGAAAAGGUGAUAUUUUAUUUACCCUGAGCCACCCAGCUGUGUUAGUGGGGGAGUUUCAAGCUUUCUCAAAUCAUCUGCCAGUCUGUCUCAGCCAUGACCUGUAGGAACCAGCUUCAGAGGUGAGGCUGCUCUUUACUCACCAUGAUACACUACAGGAAUGCAUGCUGAGGCCAUGACUGGCAAACCAGCUGUGGCACUGGCAGCAUUUGCAAAGAGGACAGCUGCCCACUGGGAGCCAGACUGAUGCUAGCACCUCAUUUCAGGGAGGUCAGAGAGGAUCUGACAAGUAGUAAUAGCUUUCAGCCACUACAGGUGUGUGCCAUGGCUGAGCCAGUAACUACUGCUUUCACUCUAAAGCUCAGUAUCAUAUUACAGAUCAUUUUGUCAGAUCUCAAUUUUUUCUAAAUGCACAUUUCUUCCUGCAUUGCUUACCAUAUCUAAUAAUUUCCUAUUUGAAAUGCUGCUCUUACUGAAGGGUCAUUUUAGGAUGCUCAUUUUACUAGCUUAGAACACACCAUCUAUGAUCUCUGCACUUCCCACAGCUGUAAACCCUCAGCAGGUAGAAAGAAUUGAAGAGGUUGUACUUAACCUGUAAAGCACCAGUGCAGUGUGUCAUGGUAGUCUGACGUUUAGCACUUCUGCGUGCAACCCAAUGAACUACAGAAUUACUCUUGCACUGAGAGUGCAUCCUAAGGGAGAAGUAAAUACCUCGUGGUCUGGAUCUGAUAAACGACUAACUGUAACAGAAUGCAAUUAGUCCUUUCAAUAACAAAUUAUACUAAUGGUGACACUUCAUCUGUUUCAUGCACACAUAAAUGCAUAACAAAGGCAGAAUUUUCAUAGUUCUUCAGCUUUCCCUCUCACUCAUCUCUCACUUUGUCAUCAGAAGGGUUAGGGUUGAGUUCUUUUUAAUGAAAAAGAAAUUAUUUUUCACUUUUUAUUGGACUAAUUGAAUUUGCAGAAAGGCUCCAAUACAUUUUUUGUUCUUGAUAUAUUAUUAAGUAAAGUCAUACAGCAGAAUGGAUGAAAAGACAUUCGAGUAUUUGAAAUAUGAUCAUAAAAGCCAGCCUUUCAUGCACUUAAUUAAACUGCUGUCUUUAAUUUUGAAUGCAUUAUUUCCACACUGGACUGAUAAUGUCGUAUGCACUGCCCUUCUUAUCUUCCUCUGAAGUCAGUAAUAUUAAAAUCUGCCUUUUGAAAUUAAGAAGCCAACAGCAUUAUGAAUGUACUGUUAUUUUGUCAAAUGCAGAUAUGACUGCAUUUUCUCUGCCACAUUAAUGUUUCCCUAUCUUCAUAUGGCUCAUGGGCCAGUCAACUAUUCCGCACAAAUAGGGAGGAAGGAAAUUGCUUCUGUCCAUUUCAAUGACUUAUUCUCUGGCUGCUUUAUUUCUAAUGAUUUAAACAAAAUCUUUUGGUGAUUUAUGAAGGCUUCCAAAAGAAAAAUAAGCAAAUGUCAAGGUCGUAAGCUGACGCUUGUUAACACACGUCAUAAAAAAUGCAACAAAAAAAAGGAAUCAAGGAAAUAUGGUCACAGUACGUCCACUGGGAAUAUAUGACUUUUACAAAUGUGACAGUAUUACGCUUUUGAAAUAAGAAACACUCCAAAAUCCCAUGAUCUCCAGACAGCUCUAGUUUUGAAAUGAAAGAUUUCUUUACUGUAUUUUAAUCCUGAAAUAGAGCUAAUUCUCAUUGUAAAACUUUGCAGCUGAAAAGAGAAUUAAUGCUUAAACCAAGACAUAAAGGGCUCGGUCCAGUACCCCUUGGGAGUAUCUUUUCAGAAGAGCUUGGUUCCCAUUUUGUCACUGAACUGGUCAUUCCUGAUGAAAAUAAAUACUUGGAACUUUUAGGUCAUAUGGAACAGAAAAUUUCAAACUCCUGCUGUGCAUUCCACAAGUGGAAUAGCUGUGGAUGGACUACAGCAUACAUAUGAGAUGUCAUUGCAUUACUCAUUACUCACAUGUAAAAGCUGCUAAAAUGGACUGAAGGACAACUAAUUUCACACUGAAAGUCAGCACUUGCCAUUGAAUCCUGAUUUUAAUAAUCUAGGUCAAAAAUGAGAUCCCUAAUGAGUAAACUUCAGAUGGUGAUGUAAGAGCUUCCAAGUUUGUUAAGGUCUGUGGGACUGAAAGUUUCAUUGGUAACACUAAAAAUGUACAAAUUCAUCUUAGAUUGUGACACAAGUGGAAAUUUGUGUUACACUUAUCUGAAUUGCAUCAGGGAUGUUAACAUCUUCACCUCCUAGCAUUAGACCACAUAAAAAUCUGAUAGCAGUCUUCGGUUAGGCAGUAGCUGGUGAUGUUGUAAGAUGCAACAAGGAAAAAAUAGACUAACAUAAAAGUAGUUCUAUUUCAAGAGUUAGAGACCAGCAUAGGAUAUGAUAGGAUCUAUUGUCUGUGACCUAGAAUCUGUAAUGCAAAAGACUGUUACCAGAAGAUGUGGAUGUUAAACUGGAUUUCAGUAAUACCAGCAUAAAUCACCAUAUUGCUACCUUUAUUAAAAAAAAAAAAAACUAUCAAAAGAAAUGCUACACUUCUAUAAUUCUGUGUACUUGUAUUAUAACGAAGAGCUGUACAGAAUCAUAUUAUUAGUAAUGUCCUAAAUUAUAAGCACUCUGAAGAACAACCUGGCCAAGAAGUUUGAAAACUGAUCUUCAGUUUUGCUCCAGAAAGUUCCCACAGGAACAACGAUGGCAUUUAGACAUCUAACUACUCAAAUGAGACUGCAAAUCAGGCAGGCAGAUUCCUAAAAGAUACCAAUUAUGGACAAUGAUGACCAUGGAUUAAGAUGACAUUUCUCUUAAGUAUCAAGAUUUGCAUAAAAUGGCAUGUCUAACAAGCAGUUGUGGUUGAAGGGCUGAUGAUGCAUUUAAUCUGAGCAUAACAUUUUUAUGGACAUGCAGAGCCAUUUCAAGUUCCCCUUCUUAGUUUCUAAACAGAAAUGUGAUGCUGAGCAUAGGUUUCUAAUACAGCCAAGCUGUGCUUCAUGAAAUUAAAACGAGUAUUCAUACUGAUUUGAAACUGAAUUAAGAAAUUCUUUAUCAGUGUACCUUUCAAUACCAACUACUUGCAUGUAUUUUAAGCGAGAGCAGAAAUACAGAGUCUGCUAACACCACAAAAAGGUGAGACUUUCUUUACUAUGCUAGAUACACCUGAAACCAAAUACUAUUAAAAGUGAGAGUCAAGGACUUCAUUUUGGGGUUAUCCAAAGGAAAACUCAGGAAAGAGACUGCAGGUUGCCUGCAGAGCAUCCUAUUUUAUGGCCCUGUGUAGACACCUGUGUUUCUACCACAUCUUCCUACAGUUAGUGUCAUAAAAGAUUGCAUACUGCAUUAAUGAAGUCCACAGUCAUGUUUAAAUGUCUCACCACACUUUACGGAGACGUAUCUGUGAGAUCAUUCAAAUGGUUAGUGAAGAUGCUAAGAACUAUGUAGCAUCAAAUAAUUGACUUGAAAGUUGGCUCAAAAUGGUGACUUUCCUUGGACCAUUUUGACGUCAUACAGUUGUUUCACUUGAUGCUAAGGAAGGUUCAGGGAAUAUACCGCUGCCUCAGCACCUGGGCCAUGCCAGACUGCUGCUACUGCUGGACACGCAGUAGAUAAAUGUGGGCAUCCAUCUACACUAAGUUGCCAGUAUGUGCUCCCAGAAACUACUGAUAAAUAUUGCUCUAAAUUGGCUGAUGAUUCUCAAGAUGGAAAGCGCUGUUUACAUGCAUCAGAAAGAAGAAAAAAAAGUCAUGAAGACUUAGUCUUUCUCUUGCACCUUUCCUUUUCCAGUUUUUCUCUUUUGACACCAAACUGGACUUGAUCUAAACGAGAACAAGUUGCACAAGGAAGAAGGAAGUAUUAAAAAAAAAACCACUUUUCCACAUGCACUGUGAAACUUAGCUUUGACUAAAUUAGAUGAAAGUCAAUUUACUUGUAAAUAACAUGAUUUGUUUAGUGGCACAGCGAAGGAACACAGGAUUGGUAAUUAACUAACAAGAAAAGCCCCAGACACAGACCUGAAAACACGAAGAUAUGUGACUGCUGUGUUCACUACAGUUUAGGAAGUUCACCCAAUGGCAUGAAAAGUUAGAGAUGUGAAAUAUUCUGUAUUUAAAACACUAAUGUUUUGUAUCUUGGUCAUUGCCACAAAGGAAUAUUUAAGUGUAAGUGCCUUUGCAGUACAAUUUAUACUUAAAAAUAUUUAGGAAAAGAGAAUUUAAUUUCAAUUAUUAUACUUAAAAAGAUUAAAUUUCCAAAGAAAAUGCAACCAAUUUAAGGAAUCCAUCAGCUACACAGAUUUAAGCCACAGUACUGCUAGAAGCUAGAACAGCUUUUAGAAGGAAUGGAGCAUGAACUGUCACUUUUCAUGUGCUCAUUAUGAAUGGUAAGAAAACUUCUGCACUCAAUUCCUCUUAUUAAAUUAAGCUCCCAGCACCAUCAAAUUAAUACAUGUUAUCUAUGUCCUUCUAUGCCAUGAUGCAAAAAUUACAAGGCCAUUUAAUUCCUCGAGCAAGCAGUUUGUCCUCUGUCAGACACGAAGGGUAUCACUGCCAUAUAGAUUUCUUCUCAGACUGACAGUGGAAAUUCAUUUGCUCUCAAUUUUACUAGAAUAUUUAUGGUCUACCAUUUAGCAGCGGUUUCUACUCCAGUUGUGCUAUCAUUUGUGUAACCCACAAAGCUCCAUUCCAGCUUCUUUAGCCUGCUGAGACUUUUCUCUGGGCUAACAGUUGCACAGAUACAGACUGAGGAGGUGGAAUGAACUGUUUGAUCAAUUACAGUAGGAACAAUUUUUCUUCAUGUUUGAGCCUAAAAACAGCCUUUGAGAAGCCUUUGAGUUCUCUAAUUUCUGGCACAAUUCCAUGCCCCAUCAUGAAUAAAGCCUUUUCACUUUCAACUUUCAUAAACCAUGUCUGAAUCGUGAUCAUAUGAAGGUCAUUGUGAAUAUUUGCAAUGGUAUCUACAGAUUCCCUUCAUUUUACUCCUGUGUAACUAACUGUAAAAUGUCAGACUUCCUAAGAUCUCCACUUGGAUGUAGAUUUAUUUAUUUAUUUUACCAAUUUCUUUACUUUCAGUUUCACAUUUGCCUAAAGGAGAAGCGCCUUUCUUCAAUUUAAUGGAGCAAGAGAGGAGGAGAACAAAGAAUGAAAGGAGUAUUUCAGAAAUUCCCAAAGCCAGGCUGUGCAGGAUGCAGUCAGGCUGUGUUUCAGGCUCUCUCUUUAAGUGAUCACACUACAAAUAUAGGCUGUGGGAAAUAAUGCUUCAUGAUCUCUAAUGAUACUGCCAUGAAAAUCUAAACUGAAAUUUCAGAGUCUCCUCCCUCCUGUUUCUUUUCUACCUUCAUACGCUGCUCUUCUCAUCAGACAAUGUGUGCAUGUGAGGUGAUUUGGCAGCUGGUGCUCUCACUGCAGGCAUAAAUCCCAUUCAGCUCUGUUACAUUCUGUGUUCCAGCUGAACUCCAUUAACAGUUCAAGAAAAGUAAAAGGAACCAAUAGAGUGGGAAAAUAUUGGGAUUUGGGUGUGGUGCUCAGAGUCUGACAUAUUUGAAGUCUGCCCUUAUAAAUACCACAUACUGACAUUUUCUAUGAAGGAGGUCCCAAAUUUCCCAUGAAGUUGAAAUUCCCCGUUUUAAAAACACUCACUGACAUAUCAAUUUUUUUUCCCCAGAAUGUAUAAAAUAGUUUCCAAAAGUUGCAAUGCUUCAUUCAUGCACUCAGAUAAUAUAUGCAGAUCCUAUUUUUGAGUAAUUACAUUUCAAAAGAGCACAGCUCUUUCAGCAUAUCAAACUGCUACUGACAUAUGCCAUCCGUCUUAAAUACUGUUUUCAGCAUUCUGAUUUCUUUUUCUAAUCACGAGGCUGUGAUGACAAAUUAAAACAAUAUUUUGUGUGCAAUUCAUAUUUUGCUGAAAUUUAAAAUGGCAAGAAAAGGAUAAGUAUUCCAUUUAUUUUUCUCUUCUCAAUUAAUACAGCAAUUAAGAUAAGGGGUAUAAAACUGGCUUAAUUAGGUUGCUAUGGCAACUAAUUGCCUGAUUUCUUCAAAAAUAGCAUGUUUUAGGUGGAAUCAAUCUGUGGUAAUUUAAUUAUGUACAUCAUGAAGCAAGACGACAGGUUAGGUACAUGUAAGGAAGAAUUCUAUUUGCAAAUGGUGACACAUCUCUUUGUCACUCAGUUAUUUCCUAGCUGUUGUCUGUUUCUGUUCAUUACACAUGGUACAGAAUGACAGUUUUUCCUGCUAAUGAUUAGGAGUAUCAAGAACUGCACAAUGAAUGUUGGAGAGUAUUUCAGCUGGUCCUUGGAAACAAGGAAAAAAGUGAAAAGUAGAUCCUGACUGACCUCCUUCUCAUUUUCCCUUCAACGUGCAAUAGGGAAAUUGAAGCAAUACGACUCAGCCACCUCAUUUAUACACACACAACUGGCUACAGCAUGAAGCAAAAUCCUUGCACUGGCCAGAGCAAUUUGGGGAUGGUGAUGACAACAAGGAGAGCAAAACACUUUCGGAUAAAGGCAGUUUUCACUCAUGGACUAUGGCUGUAAGAAAUGGUGCUUACUGUGAUUCAAGUUGUAUCAGUUGUGAGCCCUUAACUGAGUAUCUUUAAUGUACAGAACAGAUAACAUGUUUUUAAUGACAUGUACCCUCUUCUACGUUUAACGUAGCAUAAGUACUUCGAUUCCCAAUUUUUAUCCCUGGUGAUGAGGAUAGCAGGGGAGAAGCUGACUCACUGGCAGUGCACCAGAGUUUGUGUCUCAGUGGGAGAGCACUGCUGCCUGGCUUUGUGCAGGCUGUAUCCUGCCACGAUGUCACGGGAACACUGGAGUUGUUAUCAGUAUUUAAAUGAGUCAGUAAGACUGCAAAUUGGCAUUCCCACAUUUCUCACCAGCAGUACCUGACCUGCACAGGUGGUUUUCAUGUAUCAAGCAAACAAAAGUAACCAAAAAGUUUUUCUUCUAAAGACCUGGAAAAUUUAUAUAAUUGGAACAGCAAAGGGGGCAUUGUGCUCCUCUGCAGUAAUACUGUUCAUGAACUUCAGAGAAAACUGUUUGGAUCUAUAUUACUAUUCCUUCUUCUCUCUUAAAGAAAAGGGAGAAAUAGAAGUUUGCCAUAUUUUCCAGAUAUUUUUAAGUUUUAAACAUUUUCUCUUCCUUUUUUUUUUUUUUCCUCUCUAAAUUGUGACUCAUACUCUCAGAAUACAGGUGAAAAAGGACAAUUCCAAGAGUCUUUCUAAUAAAGGCUGUCAUGCUAAAAACAUACGGGCAUUAAGCUUUAUGAGUCAUCUCAAAUGUUCCAGAACAUAAUAGGAUUUGCACAACACAGUUACACAACAGAUCACCUGUCUGAUUUGCUGUGUGUGAUGCAAGCAGGUAUCUCAAACUCAAGUGAUCUAUUGCCUAUGUGUGGUUUAUACAGAUACUCUCAAUAAUUGUACUUUAUACUUCUGAUAUUGUUUUUAGUGAUUAGAAUGAUGAAUAAAGGAAAUAAAAAUUCCAUUUUUGAAAAUAAAAUAAAUAUAAAGGAAAUAAGAUGUCAAUUGUUGGCACUUUUCUUAAUCCUGAGAACCCCUGAUUGGGUUGAAUGAAACCAAGUUUGCAUAAACCUGACUUCGUCCCGUUAUGAGCUCAUUCUCAGAUUAAACGCAGUUCAUGACACUUCAAUGCGUUAACUCUGCUUCAUGAUAUUUCCUACCAUUAUUUAAUUUCUUCUUUAAUAGACCAGAGGCUCUGUGUCCACACAAGUCUUUAAUAAAGAGUUUUCAAAUUCUAAAGACACUACCUUGACCUUUACUGAAAUCAAAAAUACAGAGCAAAUUAGGAUAUUCAAUCCAAAAAGUUCUUUUUACCAUGAAAUUUCCCCUCAAUAAAAGGUCAAACUUUAUUAUCUAUAAAAUUAAUACUGUGUCCAUCAAGUGUGCUCUCUUGUUUAAAGUAUUUUGGGAAUGUAUAGGGACUGUUUAGAGCAGAUGUAACAUAGUUCAUACUUAGCUACAUUUCUCUUCAGUUAAUUGGGUAACAGUAUCAAGUUCAAAAAGAAUAUAAUAAAUGACUGCAUUAUUUUCUGCA
RNA transcript from Gallus gallus (chicken), 19965 nucleotides. RefSeq lists it as uncharacterized. The record is from RefSeq and is a predicted model, not a curated record. Lineage: Eukaryota; Metazoa; Chordata; Aves; Galliformes; Phasianidae. The transcript has 11 exons.